Molecule: unclassified non-coding RNA, 21 nt
Filed under: Mus musculus (house mouse)
Lineage: Eukaryota; Metazoa; Chordata; Mammalia; Rodentia; Muridae
Description: oocyte_clustered_small_RNA9446
Source: RNAcentral
UAAGGGAUGGUUUUGUGCAGG